Molecule: transfer RNA, 80 nt
Filed under: Oryctolagus cuniculus (rabbit)
Lineage: Eukaryota; Metazoa; Chordata; Mammalia; Lagomorpha; Leporidae
Rfam family: tRNA
About the family: Transfer RNA (tRNA) molecules are approximately 80 nucleotides in length. Their secondary structure includes four short double-helical elements and three loops (D, anti-codon, and T loops). Further hydrogen bonds mediate the characteristic L-shaped molecular structure. tRNAs have two regions of fundamental functional importance: the anti-codon, which is responsible for specific mRNA codon recognition, and the 3' end, to which the tRNAs corresponding amino acid is attached (by aminoacyl-tRNA synthetases). tRNAs cope with the degeneracy of the genetic code in two manners: having more than one tRNA (with a specific anti-codon) for a particular amino acid; and 'wobble' base-pairing, i.e. permitting non-standard base-pairing at the 3rd anti-codon position.
Source: Rfam by way of RNAcentral
GGAGCUGUGGCUUAGUGGGUAAAGCUGUUGCUUGCAGUGUGACAUUCAUAUGGCUGCUGGUUUAAGUCCCAGCUGCUCUG